RNAcentral lists this ribosomal RNA (253 nucleotides) under uncultured bacterium. Its description in RNAcentral is "partial 16S ribosomal RNA". It matches the Rfam family "Bacterial small subunit ribosomal RNA", at positions 524 to 776 of the family's 1533-position model. The record is from RNAcentral.
GACAGAGGGGGCGAGCGUUGUCCGGAGUCACUGGGCGUAAAGCGCGCGCAGGCGGCAACCUAAGUGUCGUGUGAAAGCCCCCGGCUCAACCGGGGGAGGCCAUGGCAAACUGGGUCGCUCGAGCUGCGGAGAGGCCCCUCGAAUUGCCGGUGUAGCGGUGAAAUGCGUAGAGAUCGGCAGGAAGACCAAGGGGGAAGCCAGGGGGCUGGCCGCAGGCUGACGAUGAGGCGCGACAGUGUGGGGAGCAAACCGG